GGAAAGUAGUUCCCAGACUCCACAAGAUCACCUGUUUGUUUGUUUGUUCACAGUCCAAACACAGUUUGACCUCUUUUAUUAUCAUGGACGCUGCUUUGUUUAACUCCUUUUCACUGAGCGACAUCGGGGGGCCCAUUUGGAUGCGGUCAUACACCAUUUGCAUCCCCCGGCUGGAAUGAGUGGAAGAAAUGAUCACAGAGAGUACUACAACGAGAGAAACGCAGCCCGUUCCAAAGACGUCUGCACUGCGGGAGUGGAACGGGUGCACCUGAGGCUAAACAUGCGCUCCUCCACCAAAAACCCCUGGCCGACAGAAAUGGGGAUAUUGCAUGUUGUGGUGGAGUGACUCCCGAAGGAGAAGCCGUCCUGCAGAAACCUCAAACGUGUAAGUGUUGGAUGCAUCUGACUGAAAUGAUCAAAAACGGCCGACGCUUUAAAGACAGUUGAUACAAAUAUUUUUGGCCCUCUGUGCAGCAGGUUACUGCUGUUGGAGGGAGAAGUUUCUUCUUCAAAAUACACAUCCAUUUACAUUUGAUACCUCUUUGGAAGUAUAAACACGGAAAAGAAAAAAGUUGGUCUUAUCAAAUUGCUGUCAAAUGAACAAAGCCCCCGAGGUUCCCCAAAUAUAAGUGUAUAUAUAAUAAUAUUUUUUUAACACACAAUAAAAAAAUGCACUGCCAUCCAUUUAAAGGGAACUUUAUGUGAAGAUUCUCCAAACACAUUUUUGCUCUUGAGAUUUUUGCAGGACCUGUUCAACAGAUACAGAAAAGUUUAAAAUUGCAGUAAGUAUCCAAACUCCAGCUAUGGCCAGUCGAGACUUUUUGUAGUUCUGUGAAAAGAAGUCAGUUUGUACACAAACAGAGGAGUGCAGAUCAAGUUACAUCUGAUUGAUUCUACAUCGGGACAUCAUUGAACACGGAUCCUGUUUAAACUCUGCACAGAUGAACCAACAAUCCUGGCUAGCUGUACGGGACACGCACUCACAGAACGUGGUUUUAUCGUCUGAGUUGUGUAAAUAUCAAGGCAAUGGAGACAAAAAGAAAAUCAUCACUGAUACAUCCAUUUCCAAUGAUCGACAACUGAAGGAUUAACGAGAACUGAAAUCUUUGGUCUUAAUGUUUUGGGGGGAAAAAUGAAAACAGUCAAAGAACAGCGACUACGACUCAAAGUGUAACGUCUUUAAGCUCUGUGUGCACGGCGGACACGACACCGCCGUGUGAAUGUGACUCGUGAUGCUCACGCAGACGCCACAGGUUAAUAUUAAAACAAGUCUAUUGUAGAUUACAAUGUGUGCAAUUUCAGACGAGCCCUCUGUGGAGGAAAAGAUCCGAACGUAUCGCUGAGAAGUUUCAAAAAAGCGCCUCCUGCCCUCCUAAAGUAGCUCUGCGUCUGCCUGUAACCAAUACUGUACAUCUGUCAUAAAACUCUAAAAACCCCGGCCCUGCUCACUGUGAAACAAACUUCUUUUCAGGUUUAUUUUUCCUUCAAUAAAUGUAUUUCAUAUAAAGACAUUCAAUAGUCAGCAAUGCAAUACAGUUCAAGUAAUAAAGUUAGGGAUGUUUUGGAGGUCCCUGUUCGGAAGGAAAACAUAAAACCUUCAGACUGUGUGGUGGUGGGGGGGGGGGCUUGACUAGGCUACAGGAAGCAAUGAAGGACACGCCUCUUGAAGGGAGGACACUUCAGAAGUCAGAGAUGUGGGGCUCUAGCUUAAUCGGCUGAGAGUGAUUGACGUCUCAUUGCAGAAGUAACCCUGAUUUAUUGAUGUAGGUUUUUGUAAAUCGCUGGUUUUGUUGUGUGAUCGUUUCUACGGUAAACCUGAAACACCUGAGGGUUAAUGAGCAGAAAGGGUCGUGGAGACGUUGAACGUCCGCCGGAUGGAACAGGCCGUCGUUCCCGAUAGCACCUUGAGAGUUAUGAUCGUCACGGCCAAACACGACUGGUGGUGCUUAAAGUUGAGGGUUGGGGGGGGGGGGGACGCCGUGGACACGGACUGAUCCUAUUUGUACAUUCAAGAUUAAGUGGGUAAGCCCCGCCUUCCCUUCAGACACCCGCAAAGUCGACACUUAUGUUCUAAUUCUUGCAAGUUCAAAAUUUGGUAAAAAAAAGUCACAUUUCCUGUGUGAACGUGACUUUGUGCCCUGAAAUAAGAGACGCGGGAGGCGCAAAACAAGCCUGCAUCGUUGAAUGCGUCCAAUGACGAUUUGCUUUUACGCGGUUAUGCUAAUUGCCAUGUGGCCUUGUUUACGUUUACUUCUCAAGACCUCGUCCAACCUCUGACCACGAGGUCCCAGUAGGUGCUGCGUGUAGC
This is a long non-coding RNA of Gasterosteus aculeatus aculeatus (three-spined stickleback), 2308 nucleotides long. NCBI's taxonomy places the organism in Eukaryota, Metazoa, Chordata, Actinopteri, Perciformes, Gasterosteidae. The record is from Ensembl.